CUGGGAGCCUGGCCGGCAGAAAACAAACAAACAAUGCUAUGGACAACACAAGAGUCCCUAGUAGAGCACAACGGCGUAGAUUCAGGUGUUCGGUUGCCAACUACCAUGGAUACUACAAUGGACCCAAAAGAGACGCUGCUCGGAGGCUCAUCUGGAUCCUCCUAGCUUGCACUCCACCACCUUCAACUACUCCACUGCGUGCUACAAUUACCGAUGAUCUACCUGGAACGAGGACCCAGCAAACAAGGCGAAUGAGAGACGUCGAUGUGCUGGUAAACCAGAUGCAAGUCAUGACUCAACAAUGGAAGGAGGACAUGGACACGGUUGAUCGCCAGCAUCCUCCGCACUGACAGUAUGGUUGAGAAGCUGAUGCAGAGAAUGGAUAACAUUCAACCUCAACCAAACACAUUGUCACCACCACCACAACAUCAACCACCACAUGAUGCGUAUUAUGGUUAUGGAUGCCUUACUUAUUUGCACUACCGCCUGAAAAGCACCUUACCGUUCAUACAGCACAAUUUCUACACUCUACCUCAGUGUGUAUAUAUAUAUAUACAUACACAAUCAGAAUUUAUAUAUAUAAAUAUUUGUUUUUUUGUGACAUUCAAGGUUUUACCUUUUAUACUUGUGUGCUUUUAUACCUUGUUUUACUUUUCUUAUUUUUUCUUAUAAAUAAAACACUUAACUAAA
Molecule: long non-coding RNA, 690 nt
Organism: Gasterosteus aculeatus aculeatus (three-spined stickleback)
Lineage: Eukaryota; Metazoa; Chordata; Actinopteri; Perciformes; Gasterosteidae
Source: Ensembl